UACGUAGGGGGCUAGCGUUGUCCGGAUUUAUUGGGCGUAAAGAGCGUGUAGGCGGCCAGGUAGGUCUGCUGUGAAAACUCGAGGCUCAACCUCGAGACGUCGGCGGAAACCAUCUGGCUAGAGUCCGGAAGAGGAGAGUGGAAUUCCUGGUGUAGCGGUGAAAUGCGCAGAUAUCAGGAAGAACACCCGUGGCGAAGGCGGCUUCCUGGACCGACACUGACGCUGAGGCGCGAAAGCGUGGGUAGCGAACAGG
This 253-nucleotide ribosomal RNA is filed under the name uncultured bacterium. RNAcentral's name for it is "partial 16S ribosomal RNA". It matches the Rfam family "Bacterial small subunit ribosomal RNA", at positions 524 to 776 of the family's 1533-position model. The record is from RNAcentral.